GGGUUUCCAAGUGCUGUUCUAGUUCUUUAGCCUCUACAACUCAGUGAGACAUUUGGUUUGUGUUUGUGCUAUUAACCCCCAAACUCCCUGUCCCCCAGGGUCCCCUAUGGCCACCUUAACAGGUCUACCAUAGGCAAAGAGCUUAGCAUUAGUCAUGAGGAAAUAAGGAACCCGGUGGUAGCAGAAGGGUCUCAGAUCCGGAUGUCCGAAGCCCCAGGUCUAGUUUCAAUUUGCAACUUACUAGCUGUGUGACCUUAUUUGAAUCACUUCCCCUUGCUGGGCCUUAGUUCCUUUAUCAGUAACAAUGGGAAUGAGACCACCCACUUCACCAUGUUCUAGAAGCCAAUGCCUGUGCGGGGGCAGUGUCUGGGUAGGAGGCCCAGCAAGCAGUCGACAGGACCCCCUCCCGCAGCCAUUGGCCCUGCAGCCUGGCAUGAGCUGAUCAGAGGGUCCCUCCUGCCCCCUCCGCCCUUCCUACUCACGUCACCCGCCGUCCUAGGAGCUUCGGGAAGGAGUCACAACCUGUUCCACUCUCCUCUCAAUCGCGGGUUUGAAUUUAUAUACGAGGCGACAGCCUACAAAUGACAGGUGUGGCAUGAGGAAACAGAGGCACAUCAGGGAGAAACUGACAAGGAAGAGACGAAAGCCUACAGCAUCAGACUUGACCGUUGUCCUCCCCCCAUGUAGCCGACAGCAGCAUCCCUCUGUUCUGUGGGUUUGAGGAAAGGCCGGAGUCACACUGAAGGCCCCAUGUGUGUAAUCAGAAGGUCUACGUGUUUAUGUGUACAUGGGGAUACGUGCACAUCUAUCCUACAAGCGUAUACGGUAUAUGUAAUACAUAAUCUACCCAUCUGCCAAUUGCAAAA
Long non-coding RNA from Felis catus (domestic cat), 866 nucleotides. RefSeq lists it as uncharacterized. The transcript is spliced from 3 exons. The record is from RefSeq and is a predicted model, not a curated record. NCBI's taxonomy places the organism in Eukaryota, Metazoa, Chordata, Mammalia, Carnivora, Felidae.